Molecule: ribosomal RNA, 1389 nt
Filed under: Triticum aestivum (bread wheat)
Lineage: Eukaryota; Viridiplantae; Streptophyta; Magnoliopsida; Poales; Poaceae
Description: partial small subunit ribosomal RNA
Source: RNAcentral
AUGGAGACUCCAAUCGCCGUAGAUCACGUGAACCUGGUGAAGAAUAUGGAAGCGCCAGCGGCCACGCUCCCAGACGAUGUCAUCCUGGAGAUCCUUGUACGCCUGGCUGAGGAGGCUUCACUCUUCCGUUGCGCGGCGACGUGCAAGCUGUGGAGGUGCCUCAUAGCCGACUCCUCCUUCCUCCGCCGCCGAUGGCCGGCCAACUCACGCCAUCCGUCCUCCCUCGUCGGGUUCCUCGCCAACAAAUGCCACAUCCAUCAGGGAAUCAUGGGGCUCCCCAUGGGACCAGCCGCCGCCCAAACCUUCGUUCCAGUUCCAGGACCGCAACCGGUGUUCGGCCGUGGCCGUCGAUCCCUCGGCUCCUUGCUCCCCCAAGCCGGCACCCUCUUCGACCGUGUGACACCGCUUGCCUCGCACGGCGGUCUCCUCCUCGUGCGCUUCGUCCCGACUCAUCACGCCUCGCGCCCGACCGUCGUCCACCUUGCCAUGUGUAACCUGCUGGCCGGCACGUGUGAGGCGCUUCCCCCACUGGAGUACAAGUCAUGCGACAACAACGAUAGGCUGGACGGCUUUGGCGUCCUAACAGGGGCCGACUUUUGCUCCACCCGGCCGCCAUUGCCGGGCUUUUCCGUCUUAUUCCGAGUGCUGCUCAUCGGCGCCAGCCCGGAUGGACGGCACUACCAUCUCUACACCUUCUCGUCUGACGAACCGAGCUGGAGCGCGCCCACCGCUUGCCUGGACCGUUGUUUGCCGGAGAGGCGCACGGCUUACCUGCUGAUGCAGAACGACGCCGCCGUGCAAAGGGGCGCAGCGCACUGGCUCUGCUGGGACUUUUCGGACGUCUACGACUUUGCGGUGGAUGCCGAGAUCGGUGAGGCCUCUCUAGCCAAGCUCCCCUUCCCCGUUGCAACACGCUUCUUCUUGGCCCCCUACCACGCACGUCAACUCCGCGUUGGCGCCGACGGAUCGCUCUUGUUUCUUCGCCUGCAUGUUCAAGGUCUGUGGAUGGAAAUAUGGACACGUCAAGACAGCGGCACGGCCUCCUCCUGGCUCUGCACGCACUUGAUCGAGAUAGAACCACCCAAGGCUGACGGAGUAGUAGAUUGCAUUUGCUUUGGGGAGAAGAGUGGCACGGUGCUCCUCGCCGAUCAAAACUGGAGCUCGUCAUAUCUGGUCAAUAUCGAAACUGGGCGCGUACUGGAGGAGAUGACGGAACGAGGUAUUCUUUCCUUCCUCUUCUUUUUGCUCAGGAGAGCACUUGUAGUAGAGGCAUGUUCACCCUUAGACGGUAUCUCAGUUGAGGAUGACUUGGUUUGUGGGAUGGAGAGGAAGAAAGGAGCAAAGGACAAUGAGGAGAGCUCCAAGGGCAACAGCAACACCAAUGCCUGA